AAUCUAGACAGAUUUUUAACCAUUUAGUAAUCUCUGAUUGGAUUAACAGGUUACCUGGAGUAACAGUUUGUGUUUCCCCAAAAGUUUGAGUGAAGAGCAAAAUAAACAUGUAUACAUAAAAGAAGUGGGGGGUUGACCUGUUGGGUACCUCAGUUCAACUUCUCAUUAAAAAGCCUGAUUGGAAACACCUGCCCGUAGGAAGGACCUAUAAAGACAGCAGCAUGUCCUAAACACGUAACUCAGAUGUACACUGGUGUUUGGUUGGAGUAGCUGGUGUGUGUGGACCUGUGGAAGUGUGAGUGCUUUGCAUGCACAGUCCAGCUGGAGGGUUUGUGAGGACAGUGAGUGCAGCUACUGGAGUCAUGGUUGCUCGGUUGUUAAUUGCAAGGUUUUUACUGCUUUAUGUUUUGAGUGAUGUGAACUAUUCCUCGGCUUUUCCAAGAGCCACAAGUUCUGUGCAGCCUAGAGCAUGGCAGGGUGGAAGAGGGGAACAAGAUGUGUAUGGAAAUCCUCGUCCUUUCCAGUACAUGAGGGCUCUGAGGCCGACGGAUCCAAUGAUCUACCCUAACGUGCGUGAUCAGGUUCAAGUCGAAUCCCCAACAUCAUAUCUUCCACGCUCUAAUAUUCCUACCCACAGACCCAUGGAAACAUCUCUGCUCCAGCCACGAGCACACAGAAACCAUCUUGUGGCCAAGCCCAGGAGCUUUAACAUAAGCCUGAGGAUUCCUUUUGCUCACACUCGUGAUGGUGCUUAUCGUCCUCGGUGGCCAGGAACAUCACGGUGGACGUCGACACAGGCCUGA
This 803-nucleotide long non-coding RNA is filed under the name Oreochromis niloticus (Nile tilapia). RNAcentral's name for it is "lncRNA (ENSONIG00000040270.1)". Lineage: Eukaryota; Metazoa; Chordata; Actinopteri; Cichliformes; Cichlidae. The record is from RNAcentral.